Molecule: ribosomal RNA, 432 nt
Filed under: uncultured bacterium
Lineage: Bacteria
Description: partial 16S ribosomal RNA
Rfam family: Bacterial small subunit ribosomal RNA
Source: RNAcentral
ACGAACGCUGGCGGCAUGCCUAACACAUGCAAGUCGAACGAGACCUUCGGGUCUAGUGGCGCACGGGUGCGUAACGCGUGGGAACCUGCCCUUAGGUUCGGAAUAACUCCCCGAAAGGGGUGCUAAUACCGGAUAAUGUCUUCGGACCAAAGAUUUAUCGCCUUUGGAUGGGCCCGCGUUGGAUUAGCUAGUUGGUAGGGUAAAAGCCUACCAAGGCGACGAUCCAUAGCUGGUCUGAGAGGAUGAUCAGCCACACUGGGACUGAGACACGGCCCAGACUCCUACGGGAGGCAGCAGUGGGGAAUAUUGGACAAUGGGCGAAAGCCUGAUCCAGCAAUGCCGCGUGAGUGAUAAAGGCCUUAGGGUUGUAAAGCUCUUUUACCCGGGAUGAUAAUGACAGUACCGGGAGAAUAAGCUCCGGCUAACUCCGUG